Molecule: ribosomal RNA, 335 nt
Filed under: uncultured Bacillota bacterium
Lineage: Bacteria; Bacillati; Bacillota
Description: bacterial SSU rRNA
Rfam family: Bacterial small subunit ribosomal RNA
Source: RNAcentral
GAUGAACGCUGGCGGCGUGCCUAACACAUGCAAGUCGAGCGGGGAUUUACCGAAGCAGCAAUGACGAGGUGAUUUCAGCGGCGGACGGGUGAGUAACACGUGAGCAAUCUGCCUUCUGCAGGGGAAUAACAUUGUGAAAACAGUGCUAAUACCGCAUGACGUCGCACCGGGGCAUCCCGGAGCGACCAAAGGAGCAAUCCGGCAGGAGAUGAGCUCGCGUCCGAUUAGGUAGUUGGUGAGGUAACGGCCCACCAAGCCUACGAUCGGUAGCCGAACUGAGAGGUUGAUCGGCCACAUUGGGACUGAGACACGGCCCAGACUCCUACGGGAGGCAG